This 242-nucleotide ribosomal RNA is filed under the name uncultured bacterium. RNAcentral's name for it is "partial 16S ribosomal RNA". It matches the Rfam family "Bacterial small subunit ribosomal RNA", at positions 334 to 567 of the family's 1533-position model. The record is from RNAcentral.
UUCGCCCUACGGGAGGCAGCAGUAGGGAAUCUUCCACAAUGGACGAAAGUCUGAUGGAGCAACGCCGCGUGAGUGAAGAAGGGGUUCGGCUCGUAAAACUCUGUUGGUAGUGAAGAAAGAUAGAGGUAGUAACUGGCCUUUAUUUGACGGUAAUUACUUAGAAAGUCACGGCUAACUACGUGCCAGCCGCCGCGGUAAUACGUAGGUGGCAAGCGUUGUCCGGAUUUAUUUGGCGUAAAGCG